This 110-nucleotide non-coding RNA is filed under the name Streptococcus himalayensis. Its description in RNAcentral is "Streptococcus sRNA 10". It matches the Rfam family "Streptococcus sRNA 10". Lineage: Bacteria; Bacillati; Bacillota; Bacilli; Lactobacillales; Streptococcaceae. RNAcentral also lists the same sequence under 1 other name. The record is from Rfam by way of RNAcentral.
AUCAAGGGAGUAGCUGACGGAAGUAUCCGUUACAAGGUCGUCAAUCCGAAAGAAAUUUCCGGCCUUGUAUGAAAUAGCGAGACUUGUUUGAAUAAAACAAGUCUCUUUUU